ACCAUCAUGGCUCAGAGGGUAAAGCGUCUGCCUGCAGUGCAGGAGAUCAGAGUUCAAUCCCUGGGUGGGA
This is a non-coding RNA of Bos taurus (domestic cattle), 70 nucleotides long. The record is from Rfam. Lineage: Eukaryota; Metazoa; Chordata; Mammalia; Artiodactyla; Bovidae.